AACUGCCCUCACAGCACUCCUGAUAUGUGACUUAUCACCAGAUCCUGCGAUUGCUGACAGCGGUGCACAGAACAGUCUGGAAUGUUGCUAGGUCAGAAAGCUCAAUUCUGUGAAAGUGGGACAUGAAAGAUGGGAGAUGGGGAGGCGAAAAAGACAACAAGGGACAGGCAGAUGGAAAGGAUACUGCAGAGAAGACCAAGAAAGAGAAAUAGGAAGAAAAUGCAGAGUGGGUUGUCAUGGAAUCUUCAAGAAGGAAGCUCAUUGCCUGACCCACUUGUUUCAUAAUGCAAUGAAAUGCUAAAGAAUUUUAACUCCAUAAGGAAAAUCAGGGCAAGACAAUAAAAGAAACAUUAAAUAUUAGUAAAAGUACAC
RNAcentral lists this long non-coding RNA (372 nucleotides) under Homo sapiens (human). Its description in RNAcentral is "non-protein coding lnc-PHYHIPL-6:1". Lineage: Eukaryota; Metazoa; Chordata; Mammalia; Primates; Hominidae. The record is from RNAcentral.